GUGUCCACUUUUGGCAGCACAUAUAACUAAAAUCGGAACAAUGCAGAGGUUAGCAUGGUCUCUCCGCAAGAAUGAUAUACAAAUUCGUGAAGUGUUUCAUAUGUUU
Molecule: small nuclear RNA, 106 nt
Filed under: Chinchilla lanigera (long-tailed chinchilla)
Lineage: Eukaryota; Metazoa; Chordata; Mammalia; Rodentia; Chinchillidae
Source: RNAcentral